CUGCUUGUGCUGUGCGGUUUUGACGA
This 26-nucleotide small RNA is filed under the name Bombyx mori (domestic silkworm). Its description in RNAcentral is "ovarian small RNA-14923". Lineage: Eukaryota; Metazoa; Arthropoda; Insecta; Lepidoptera; Bombycidae. The record is from RNAcentral.